GAUGAACGCUAGCUACAGGCUUAACACAUGCAAGUCGAGGGGAAACGCCAUCGAAAGCUUGCUUUUGAUGGGCGUCGACCGGCGCACGGGUGAGUAACGCGUAUCCAACCUGCCCAUCACUUGGGAAUAACCUUGCGAAAGUAAGACUAAUACCCAAUGAUAUCCCACGAAGGCAUCGGAAUGGGAUUAAAGAUUUAUCGGUGAUGGAUGGGGAUGCGUCUGAUUAGCUUGUUGGCGGGGUAACGGCCCACCAAGGCAACGAUCAGUAGGGGUUCUGAGAGGAAGGUCCCCCACAUUGGAACUGAGGCACGGUCCAAACUCCUACGGGAGGCAGCAGUGAGGAAUAUUGGUCAAUGGGCGAGAGCCUGAACCAGCCAAGUAGCGUGCAGGAAGACGGCCCUAUGGGUUGUAAACUGCUUUUAUAAGGGAAUAAAGUGGGUCACGUGUGACUUUUUGCAUGUACCUUAUGAAUAAGGACCGGCUAAUUCCGUG
Molecule: ribosomal RNA, 492 nt
Filed under: uncultured bacterium
Lineage: Bacteria
Description: partial 16S ribosomal RNA
Rfam family: Bacterial small subunit ribosomal RNA
Source: RNAcentral